ACGAACGCUGGCGGCGUGCUUAACACAUGCAAGUCGAACGGAAAGGCCUGCUUUCCCUUGUGGAUUGCGGGUACUCGAGUGGCGAACGGGUGAGUAACACGUGAGUGAUCUGCCCCCAACUUGGGUAUAAGCCUGGGAAACUGGGUCUAAUUCCCGAUAGGACUGCAGGGUGGUGCCUGUGGUGGAAAACGAUUUUCUAGUGGUUGGGGAUGAGCUCGCGGCCUAUCAGCUUGUUGGUGGGGUAAUGGCCUACCAAGGCGGCGACGGGUAGCCGGCCUGAGAGGGUGGACGGCCACAUUGGGACUGAGAUACGGCCCAGACUCCUACGGGAGGCAGCAGUGGGGAAUAUUGCACAAUGGGCGGAAGCCUGAUGCAGCGACGCCGCGUGGGGGAUGACGGCCUUCGGGUUGUAAACUCCUUUCGACCGCGAGGAAGCCACCUGGUUGGAAGGGUGGUGACGGUAGUGGUAGAAGAAGCACCGGCUAACUAAGUG
RNAcentral lists this ribosomal RNA (493 nucleotides) under uncultured bacterium. RNAcentral describes it as "partial 16S ribosomal RNA". It matches the Rfam family "Bacterial small subunit ribosomal RNA", at positions 29 to 507 of the family's 1533-position model. The record is from RNAcentral.